RNAcentral lists this ribosomal RNA (428 nucleotides) under uncultured bacterium. RNAcentral describes it as "partial 16S ribosomal RNA". It matches the Rfam family "Bacterial small subunit ribosomal RNA", at positions 354 to 796 of the family's 1533-position model. The record is from RNAcentral.
GUAGGGAAUAUUGGACAAUGGGGGCAACCCUGAUCCAGCGACGCCGCGUGAGUGAUGAAGGCCUUCGGGUCGUAAAGCUCUGUUGCAGGGGAAGAACACAAUGACGGUACCCUGCUAGAAAGGAUCGGCUAACUUCGUGCCAGCAGCCGCGGUAAGACGAGGGAUCCUAGCGUCGUUCGGAAUUAUUGGGCGUAAAGCGGGUGCAGGUGGCUUGGUAAGUCAGAUGUGAAAGCCUGGGGCUUAACCCCAGAAGUGCAUUUGAUACUGCUGAGAUUGAGUGCUGGAGAGGCUAUUAGAAUUCCUGGUGUAGUGGUGAAAUACGUAGAUAUCAGGAGGAAUACCGGAGGCGAAGGCGGAUAGCUGGCCAGACACUGACACGCAGACCCGAAAGCGUGGGGAUCAAACAGGAUGAGAAACCCCUGUAGUCC